AUCCUUUUGUAGUUCAUGAGUGUGAUGAUCGGGUGUUCAUACGGUUGUGUGAGAUGUGCCACCCUUGAACCUUGUUACGACGUGGGCACACUACCCUUCUGACC
This is a small nucleolar RNA of Nomascus leucogenys (northern white-cheeked gibbon), 104 nucleotides long. It matches the Rfam family "Small nucleolar RNA U13". The record is from Rfam. Lineage: Eukaryota; Metazoa; Chordata; Mammalia; Primates; Hylobatidae.